GAGCUGGAGCUCAGUGGCAGAGCGCUUGCUUAGCACACACGAGGCCCUGGGUUCGAUCCUCAGCGCCACA
RNAcentral lists this transfer RNA (70 nucleotides) under Marmota monax (woodchuck). RNAcentral describes it as "tRNA.Ala". Lineage: Eukaryota; Metazoa; Chordata; Mammalia; Rodentia; Sciuridae. The record is from RNAcentral.